Molecule: ribosomal RNA, 253 nt
Filed under: uncultured bacterium
Lineage: Bacteria
Description: partial 16S ribosomal RNA
Rfam family: Bacterial small subunit ribosomal RNA
Source: RNAcentral
UACAAAGGGGGCAAGCGUUGUUCGGAAUUACUGGGCGUAAAGGGCGCGUAGGCGGCCCGCUAAGUCGAACGUGAAAUCCCCGAGCUCAACUCGGGAACUGCGUCCGAUACUGGCGGGCUUGAAUCCGGGAGAGGGAUGCGGAAUUCCAGGUGUAGCGGUGAAAUGCGUAGAUAUCUGGAGGAACACCGGUGGCGAAGGCGGCAUCCUGGACCGGCAUUGACGCUGAGGCGCGAAAGCUAGGGGAGCAAACGGG